Non-coding RNA from Betta splendens (Siamese fighting fish), 357 nucleotides. Lineage: Eukaryota; Metazoa; Chordata; Actinopteri; Anabantiformes; Osphronemidae. The record is from the annotation of a RefSeq genome assembly.
AUGAUGGGAUGCAGGACAGCUCUGCUGCUGUUCACUCUCUGCUGGGCAGGUGCUGAUGCUCAGACGCUGACAGAAUCUGAGGCUGUUGUUAAAAGGCCUGGAGAAUCCCACACACUGACCUGCACAGCCAGUGGGCUGACAGUCAGUGGCCACUGGAUGGGCUGGGUCAGACAGGCUGCUGGUGGAGGGCUGCAGUGGAUCGCCACCAUUGAUGUCACCAGCAAAUACUACCGUCAGUCAGUUCAAGGCCGGUUCACCGUCUCCAGAGACGACAGCAGACAGCAGGUGUUUCUGCAGAUGGACAGCCUGAGAACAGAAGACUCUGCUGUUUAUUACUGUGCUCGACACCCACAGUGA